CCCUUUGUGACAUACCUAUAACUGUUGCUUCGGCGGGUAGGGUCUCCGCGACCCUCCCGGCCUCCCGCCUCCGGGCGGGUCGGCGCCCGCCGGAGGAUAACCAAACUCUGAUUUAACGACGUUUCUUCUGAGUGGUACAAGCAAAUAAUCAAAACUUUUAACAACGGAUCUCUUGGUUCUGGCAUCGAUGAAGAACGCAGCGAAAUGCGAUAAGUAAUGUGAAUUGCAGAAUUCAGUGAAUCAUCGAAUCUUUGAACGCACAUUGCGCCCGCCAGCAUUCUGGCGGGCAUGCCUGUUCGAGCGUCAUUUCAACCCUCAAGCUCUGCUUGGUGUUGGGGCCCUACAGCUGAUGUAGGCCCUCAAAGGUAGUGGCGGACCCUCCCGGAGCCUCCUUUGCGUAGUAACUUUACGUCUCGCACUGGGAUCCGGAGGGACUCUUGCCGUAAAACCCCCCAAUUUUCCAAAGGUUGACCUCGGAUCAGGUAGGAAUACCCGCUGAACUUAAGCAUAUC
RNAcentral lists this ribosomal RNA (512 nucleotides) under Colletotrichum fructicola. RNAcentral's name for it is "eukaryotic LSU rRNA". The stretch from base 153 to 306 matches the Rfam family "5.8S ribosomal RNA". Lineage: Eukaryota; Fungi; Ascomycota; Sordariomycetes; Glomerellales; Glomerellaceae. The record is from RNAcentral.